RNAcentral lists this ribosomal RNA (230 nucleotides) under uncultured bacterium. RNAcentral's name for it is "partial 16S ribosomal RNA". It matches the Rfam family "Bacterial small subunit ribosomal RNA", at positions 334 to 556 of the family's 1533-position model. The record is from RNAcentral.
UUUUCCUACGGGGGGCAGCAGUAGGGAAUCUUCCACAAUGGACGAAAGUCUGAUGGAGCAACGCCGCGUGAGUGAAGAAGGGUUUCGGCUCGUAAAGCUCUGUUGUUGGAGAAGAACGUGCGUGAGAGUAACUGUUCACGCAGUGAUGGUAUCCAACCAGAAAGUCACGGCUAACUACGUGCCAGCAACCGCGGUAAUACGUAGGUGGCAAGAGCUAUCCGGAUUUAUUG